Molecule: ribosomal RNA, 990 nt
Filed under: Rhodactis sp. BN-2014a
Lineage: Eukaryota; Metazoa; Cnidaria; Anthozoa; Corallimorpharia; Discosomidae
Description: partial small subunit ribosomal RNA
Rfam family: Bacterial small subunit ribosomal RNA
Source: RNAcentral
GUGCGAACAGGUGAGGAAACCCGAGAGCUAAGUUUUGGGGCGGGGCUGGAGUCGUAUUAGGUCGAAGGUGGUAUAAAAGACCACCUUGCCCAGGAUGCGUGGCUUUAAACUGGAAGCCAUCUUUUCACUGAAGCAAAGGGAGGGCUCAAAAAGGGAGCGAAAAGCUCCUGAGGCAGCAGUAUAUAACUUUAUGCAAUGUACGAAAGUGCGACAUAGAAGGGGCGUAUAACUUAAUCUGUCUAAUUAAGUGCCAGCAGACGCGGUGAAACUUAAGGAUUAGUAUUAUAGGAAAAAGCGUAAAGGGUGUGAGGGGCUUAUCCCAACAAGAGGGUAAAUGGAAUUUUUCUGUAGGGGUAGAAUGUGUAGAUAGAAAAAAGAACUCUAAACGCGAAGGCAAUUUAUCUCAUGGGAGGUACGCCAACUGCUCCGUUGUUACACGAAAGUAUGGGGAGCAAACAGGAUUAGAGACCCUGGUAGUCUAUAUUGUAAAUAAUGAAGAAGAUGUGAGGCAAUCCUAAAGGGUAAUAAAUUUUUCGCUUGAGUAGUAUGAUCGCAAGAUUUAAAUUCAAAAAACUUGGCUGCCCACUGCUAUGAUCAGAGGAGCGUGUCGUUUAAUUCGAUAGUCCGCGAGAGACCUUACCCAAACUUGAAUUCGCCCUUUAACAGGUAUUGCAUGGCCGUCGUCAAUUUGUGUAUUAAAUGUAAAACGGAUUCAACCCAGUGGUUGGCAGCCCCUCGUCUUCGGAGCGGUGCCAUUAUUGGAUGAAGUCAGGUCUUAUUGUCCUAAUGUUUGGGGAUUAGAUGCGCUACAUUUUCUUAUACAAUGGGAGAUUUUGAAGGUGGAACCCUAAAGUAAGAGUUCGGGAGGUGGCUGGAAGAUAACUGAAAGUUGGAUUUGAUAGUAAUUAGAAAGUAGAGCGUUCUGGUGAAAUUGAUGCAGUGUUAGUACAAAUAGCCCGUCGCCUUGGUCAAGAAUGGGUACUCAAAUGC